GGAUGAACGCUGGCGGCGUGCCUACUACCUGCAAGUAGAACGCUGAAGGAGGAGCUUGCUCUUCUGGAUGAGUUGCGAACGGGUGAGUAACGCGUAGGUAACCUGCCUGGUAGCGGGGGAUAACUAUUGGAAACGAUAGCUAAUACCGCAUGACAACAGUUAUUGCAUGAUAACUGUUUAAAAGGGGCAACUGCUCCACUACCAGAUGGACCUGCGUUGUAUUAGCUAGUUGGUGAGGUAACGGCUCACCAAGGCGACGAUACAUAGCCGACCUGAGAGGGUGAUCGGCCACACUGGGACUGAGACACGGCCCAGACUCCUACGGGAGGCAGCAGUAGGGAAUCUUCGGCAAUGGACGGAAGUCUGACCGAGCAACGCCGCGUGAGUGAAGAAGGGUUUCGGAUCGUAAAGCUCGGUUGUAAGAGAAGAACGAGUGUGAGAGUGGAAAGUUCACACUGUGACGGUAGCUUACCAGAAAGGGACGGCUAACUACGUG
RNAcentral lists this ribosomal RNA (496 nucleotides) under uncultured bacterium. Its description in RNAcentral is "partial 16S ribosomal RNA". It matches the Rfam family "Bacterial small subunit ribosomal RNA", at positions 27 to 507 of the family's 1533-position model. The record is from RNAcentral.